GGUCCUACGGGGCGCAGCAGUGGGGAAUAUUGGGCAAUGGACGCAAGUCUGACCCAGCAACGCCGCGUGAAGGAAGAAGGCUUUCGGGUUGUAAACUUCUUUUAAGGGGGAAGAGCAGAAGACGGUACCCCUUGAAUAAGCCACGGCUAACUACGUGCCAGCAGCCGCGGUAAUACGUAGGUGGCAAGCGUUGUCCGGAUUUACUGGGUGUAAAGGGCGUGCAGCCGGAGAGGCAAGUCAGAUGUGAAAUCCGCGGGCUUAACCCGCGACCUGCAUUUGAAACUAUAGGACUUGAGUGCCGGAGA
RNAcentral lists this ribosomal RNA (305 nucleotides) under uncultured bacterium. RNAcentral's name for it is "bacterial SSU rRNA". It matches the Rfam family "Bacterial small subunit ribosomal RNA", at positions 335 to 655 of the family's 1533-position model. The record is from RNAcentral.